CCUACGGGUGGCAGCAGUGGGGAAUAUUGGACAAUGGGCGAAAGCCUGAUCCAGCCAUGCCGCGUGUGUGAAGAAGGCCUUCGGGUUGUAAAGCACUUUCAGUGGGGAAGAAAGCCUUGGGGCUAAUACCCUCGAGGAAGGACAUCACCCACAGAAGAAGCACCGGCUAACUCCGUGCCAGCAGCCGCGGUAAUACGGAGGGUGCGAGCGUUAAUCGGAAUUACUGGGCGUAAAGCGCGCGUAGGCGGUCUGAUAAGCCGGUUGUGAAAGCCCCGGGCUCAACCUGGGAACGGCAUCCGGAACUGUCAGGCUAGAGUGCAGGAGAGGAAGGUAGAAUUCCCGGUGUAGCGGUGAAAUGCGUAGAGAUCGGGAGGAAUACCAGUGGCGAAGGCGGCCUUCUGGACUGACACUGACGCUGAGGUGCGAAAGCGUGGGUAGCAAACAGGAUUAGCUACCCUGGUAGUC
This 465-nucleotide ribosomal RNA is filed under the name Vreelandella stevensii. Its description in RNAcentral is "partial 16S ribosomal RNA". It matches the Rfam family "Bacterial small subunit ribosomal RNA", at positions 338 to 795 of the family's 1533-position model. The record is from RNAcentral. Lineage: Bacteria; Pseudomonadati; Pseudomonadota; Gammaproteobacteria; Oceanospirillales; Halomonadaceae.